Molecule: long non-coding RNA, 9804 nt
Organism: Pipra filicauda (Wire-tailed manakin)
Lineage: Eukaryota; Metazoa; Chordata; Aves; Passeriformes; Pipridae
Exons: 3
Source: RefSeq, a predicted model, not a curated record
AGACUUUGCUGAUGUUCCUCCAACCCAGAAGCACCGAGGGGGCACAGCUCACGACAGUCACGAGGGAACGUGUGACAGAAUUAAUCAUCCUGCUGGGCUGCACACCGAGGGAAGGGAGCAGACGAGCUCUGGCAAGGCUGUUGUUAGCACUGAGAAACUGCAACAAAAAAGAGGCAGACUGCAAGCCAGACGUGUGUCAGUCACCGAGUGAGACACGCUAUGAUUUAUCAACGUAACAACAGUUGACGGGAACAUGGAUCUCCCAUUUCAAAGUGUUGUCUCUGUGUAGAUUAAGAGUAGUAUCUGUCAUCAGGAAACAAUGGGGAAAGAAAUAUGUUUGAUAAAAGCAAUCCCGUGCUCUCCCGGAGACAGAAACCGCUGUGUCGUUGGAAUGGAAGUAAAGGAUUGCUCUGCAAGUUCCAUCCCGGGCAGCAAAAAGAAAAUGUGUUGUGACAAGAGGAAGUGCAAAUAAUUAAUAACAGAGGAUCAAAUGAAAGGAGUGGCUUUGCAAGGAGUGACUAAUGCUGAGUGUGUUCCAGCAGAGCCCGGAUUGCACUGUGGACAGAGGAGCUCUCGUGGCCCGGGCGCACAGCAGGCAGGGCCCCGGCCCCGCGGCUCCACGGGGCAGCUCCCCUUUCAAAGGCAGGGCUGCUUUUCCUCUGAGCUCCCCAGCUGCUGCACACGGGGUCCCCAGCACUGCAGCACUCUGGCUGUUGUGUACACAGAGAGCAACACCAGAGCAUCAAACAUGGAACAAGCUCGGGAGCGCUUUGCCAGCAGCUGAUUACACUGGGAAGUGCAUCUCAAAGCAGCAGGGCAGCCGAGUAAAACAAAAGCCACGGAGCCAGUGCUGCCCUGUUGUUUGGCACAUCCUUGUGCUUCCCUUAAUUCUGCCUCAGAGCUUGGAAGGGAAGGCCAAAGCUUCUUAUUUGCUAAUUAAGGUUCCACCCAAUUCAAACACCCAACAAAGGACAUCCCCAAACAGAGGAACCUGCCAGCCCUCCUGGCCCUGCCAACAGGCUGAUGUCUCAGUUCAGUGCUCUCCCAACACAGAGAGUGAAAGAGCCCUGGACAGUGGCAAAUCCAGCUGUGUGCACACACACAUUGUUGUGCUGGCACACACCUCUGAUUGGGAUCCAAAGGCUUCAGCUCCCUGGUUUUGUUGUGCACACUCCAGACACCCCCCAGACAGGGGUAAAACAGAAAGACAUUGAAACAACACAGCUCUAUUUUAUGGUGUCAAAUGGCUAAUGACAGUAAUUAAGGAUUUAAAAGGCCUUUUUCAAGGGGCAUUAUCUAAGAUACCAUCAUGCCUGUAAUCAGUCAGGGAAGAAUUGCUUGAUCAAGCCAAGAAGGCAACAAAAAUAGCCCAACCUCUUGCCAUCUGCUCCAGCCACCACAUCCCACCCCACUGCCUGAAUGCAGCAGUGAGUCACAACAGGACACAGAUGAGCAGGUUGUGUCCCUGUCAUUUCAGCUGAACGUGCAGGGGCUGUUGAAGUGUUCCAGUGGGCUCCCAAAACAAAACCUGUGUCGUUCCUGGACCAGUAGCUCCAACAGCAUUUUGCCUUCCCCCUUUUGUGGAUUCAUUGUGCCUGUGCAGCAAGGGAGAAGACGGGUCUUUGGUUGGCUGUGAAAGUUUUCGUCACCCCCAAGCAACAGGAAAGGAAUUUCCAGGUGGAAUUAGCAAAGCCUCCACCCCUACAGUCCAAGCAGCUGCUGAGUAUCACUGAUCAUUCCAUCAAAUGGAGCAUUCACCACCCUCCUGGUAAGAACAGGUUACUGGAAAACAUUCCUCGUUACAAUUCCUCUUUGGCAUCACAUUGCAAGACAUCUGGCACUGAUGGUUGGAGUUUGUGUUUAACUAAACCACAUGGACAGGCAGGUGGUUUAAGUGUAAUGCAAAAUAGCUGCAUAUUUAUCUGCCUUUAUCAGCUCUCCUUCCUGUGAUCUCUCAGUAAAUAAAUACCACAUCAGCUGCCUGCACGUACCAUAAGCACCCAGAUCCAUCCCAUCCCACGUGGUAAUGGUGCUAAAUCUGCCCAGAGCAGCAAAUUACAAACAGCAGCACACCCAGAGCAUCUUCCCAACUGCUUCCUCUCUGGCUCCCUGCCUGCUCUGCACUGCAAGACUUGGGUAAUGUUUGCACUUGCACAGCUCCUGGAAGAUGAGGACACUCAAAUACAGAAAUUAAUAUUCACAGGAGAGCUGUCAGGGGAAAGGGAAGCGUUUUCCCCGAAGUGCACUGUUACAGUACAGUGUGUUUGACUGGCACCUGAGCUCCUUGCCUUCCCAGGGAGAAACAGGAGAUGCAUAAUCUGUUUGUACUCUUCCCCAUCCAACCAGAACACCCUUUCAAAGGAUUCCUGCCAUCAGCAGGCAAUAUAAUCCCACGGAUUUACGUGGCUGUGGUCGGUGUUACGCCACCUUCCAACAGGAGAGGCUUCAAAGCAGGAAGCAGAGUUGUGUUCCAGAGGAGAGGGGGAAGCGGGACAGCCACAACCUUGGGAGGGCUCAAAGACACAUCUCGUGCCUGAUCUCACAGCAGUGAACCAGGCUGAUGGACAACUUCUAAAUCCAGUGAGAGCCUCAGAGGAAGCCUGGCCAGAGAAGUCCAUCUGUGCCUCCCACUUGUAUAUUCCUGGCUUUGGCUGAGCUCUGAGCGCCGCGGACACUGAGAGGUGGAACAAAGCCUUGGGUUUUCAAGGGGAACUCAAGGCCUUCUCAAUCCUCUGAAAGGCAAAGUGUACACAUGAUAAGCCAAGAGAGCCAUUCCAUGCUGCAGUCACAUGCUGUGUGGAAGCUGUAAUCUCACAAGGACACAGAUAUGGCCAUGCAAAUAUGGGUUAUGCCUGUGCUAACAACCAGCUUCUGUCCCCACAGCUCCUGAGUGGCCUCUAAUCUGGCUGCUAAUGCAGGUGAAAGCUCGUGCUGAAGAAGCUUCAUUUCUCUUGUGCUCCCAUUAGCCAGGAACCUGCUGCCCUUCCAUCCCCUGACUUGAGAGGUGAGGACAUAAAAUGGCAACUUCUGGGAUUACAUCUUUGGAGGUGAAAAGGAGAGGAGCUGCCCCAGAGGGGACGGAUGUCACCAUUGCAGGCAGGAGGAGCAGCAGGAGGGCGGUUGGUGUUGGGAAACCAGCUGCAUUUUCAACAUCCCCUUCAGCCAAACCACCUCUAAGAGUCCUCCCAAGAGCCAGGCUGAGGCAGCCCAGCUCCAGCCAGCUGUGCCAUCCCACUGCUUCCCUCUGCAGAGCUCACCCUGGGUACAGCAACAACACUCUGGGAAAUCCCAGCAUGGGCUAAAUGAGCUGUAAACCUACCUCAGAUGGUCCAAGCAAACCCAACUGCACAGUGGGAGCAGGGAAUUGCCUUUGCAUCUGCCUGGGAGAGGCUCCUGCACCCAGAGCUGGCAGCAGAAUCUGAGACAGGGGAGGAAGAAAGCAGACACAGGAGGGAAAAGGCUGCAGACAUCUUGAGGGGAGGGCCUGUCUCCAUAGAUGUUUGUCACUGUGGAAUUCAAUCGUGGGUAAAGGCCAAACUUCCCUCAGACAGCCUGAAAACAAGGUCCUGUCUCUGUCUCCAGACCCAGCAGUGGGUCCUUCCCAAGGUGACACCUGCCCAGGGCUCUGGGCCCCAAAACCACCCAGAGCUCAGCCAAGAGCCCGGGGAUCCCCCAGAGAGAGGGGCCUUUGUGCAGCCCUGGGCACGGCUCUGGGUGCCAGAGGCGACUGGCACAGGAGCCCAGUGGGGUCCCAGCUGCAGCAGUGACACUGAUUGUCCAGGGACACAACAAUGGCACUUGUCUGACCGGGCAGGCCACGACCAGCCCAGCGUGUUUCCCUUUGGGAAAGCAUUUCGCCUGGAAGUGAAUUUCCAAAACAAAUGCCUCUAACUCCAAGCCUUUGCAGACUUCCUGCUGGCAAGGGCAGUUUGUUCAUUCCAAAAAGGAGAGCUUUAAAAGAGAUGUCACCCAGGAGAGAGAGAUCUCACUGCUGUUGGCUUUCACCAUCAUCUGGGAAGGAGGCAACCUUGAAUUCCCAUUGCACUGGGAUGGGGAUUGAGGUCUCAACUCCAAGCAGCUCCCUGAAAACACCCAGGGUGCAGCCCAAGGUCCCUGUUCCCCAUCAAAUGGGACCAUCCCCAGCUCAGGGCAGAGCUUCCCCACAGCACUGGCUCAGCAGGGGCAGGGGGAGAGCUGAGAAAGACCCAUCUUGGACUUGCUGGUACAGAAGCUGUGGAGGGAAACUGUGAUUGCCCACCCCAGGAGCUGCACCCACACUCCCUGACAGCCAACCCAGCCCAGCCAGGGCUGUGACUCAGAGCUGCACUUUGCACCCUCAGAGGCCACACUAAUCCUGACUGAUGCCCAGGGACUGGUGCUGCACCCACUGCAGGUGCAGACCCUGAGCCCCAGAGAUCCCGAGCUCCCACAGCUGCAAACAAAGCAACCCUCUGAGGAGCAAGAUGUCAGGGAGGGAAGGACUUCUCUUCCUACACACUUCAGCAUCUUCUCAAAGGCAACAUAAGCUGGUGUUGAGGUCAGUUAUGUAAGUGCUGCUUUCCAAAGGAGGAGUGGAGGAGUUACCUACACAGGGGAGAGCAGCCCUUGCCCCUUUGCAGGAGAAAAUAUCCCCAUCCCCAACCCAGGGAGGUGCACACUCAGUGGCUGAGGGUUUGGGUUUGUCACAGGUCAGCCACAGCCCCUUUGCCACCAAUAAAAGCUGCAGACAGAACACCCUGGGGUUACAGUGACCCACAACCACACAUUUCCACCUCACCAGUGGCUGCCAGCCCGUGUUUGAUUGGUGCCAUUAGCAAUGGGUGGCCAUUGUUUACCCUGUAAUUUAUUAGAGGCAGCAUUUCCAAAAGGGACCUAAAGUAGGCACCUAAUUCUUAUGGACUUUUAAUGAGCAUUGAACACCUUCAUUAAGCAGCUCUGAAAACCCAAUCUGGAAUGAUUUGGCAGGAACAAAACUGCCCCUGAGCCUCAGGACAGGGUUUGUCACUGGUGGUUUUUUAAAGAGAGGGUGAAAGGUUUGCAUGAGCUGGAGACUGACCCAUGGAUCUGGCCGUUUGUAGAUCACAGAGAAGGACCUGGGCAGCUCAGGGGAGGAGACAACUGUUGUAUUGGGCAGAGAGGGCUCCACCAAGCAAGACCCUGAUCAUCUGCACAGACACCCUCCAUCAGGACACAUUGAGAGGGACUGAACAGUAGAAAAAGUCAGUGGCACCUCAGGUGAGAAAGAGAGAGGGAACAAAUAAAACCCAGGAGUUUGGCAGAGGCAGCCAAAAAGCAGGACAAGACACUUCAUUCUGCAGCUUUCAGCAGGAGAAGACACUGAGCCCUGGCAGAGGUGAAGGGUCACCCCUACCCAGAGCUCUGUCCCCUCUCACCCAGCACUGGUGGCACCACAGCAGUGACACUCCCAGCACAACGGGCUCCUGGACACAGACUUUGGCCCUGCAUUUCCAGGCACUGGAAGGGAGGUUGGAUAUCAACAGCAGACUUGCACAGCUCGAUCCAACUGCCAGAGAAUCACAAGUCACACAGAUAAUUCCAGCAGAGGCCACGUGGCACCUGGUCCUGCCCAGCACGAGGGUUUCAAUGUGCUGCCCACCAGCAACACCCCUGGGCAAGUGAAGGGGCUCCUGUGCAGCCCCCUGAGCUCAUGGAUCACCCUUUCCAUGCUUAGGGAAGAGCAGCUUUCACCUUUAUAGGCUUGGGGGAAGAGGAGAAAAGCGACUGGUUCAGGGAAAGCCUGUGUUUGCCAACAAUCAUUUCUGUGCCUGAGCAUCUCCUACAGAAGGGAAGGAAACUGCAACAGUUCCCUGGGAAUUCAGCUCCAAAGGGUUAAAACACACUUAAGCACACUCAGAGCCAACCAUAAAGGUAUCUCCUGAGCAAAGGCUGGGCACACCAGGAAGUUCAAAGGUCCACAAGAAAUACACACUUCCAGGAGUUCAUUAAAAAAUAAUUAGAAGCAGGUCUACAAAAAAAAAAAAAAAAGUCAACUAAGAAAUUGUUUUGAAUAAAUUAGAAAACGGGGACAGGCUUGUUGGGUCACUGGGACACUGCCUGCUCCGUGUCAAAAGGGAGCUGUGGUCAUUUGAUAGCUGGCACUGAUAAGGCCACAAAUAAGUUUGAGGCUGCAGGUUCAGAGCUCUCUCCUGCAGUUAGAGAGACCAGCUACAGUUUUUGCUCUUAGUUUGUGGGGAAACAAACCCAUUUAUUUACUUUUAAGGCUGCAAAAAGAUUCUCCACCGAGGAGGAAAUCAAACCUACUGUGAAGAGAAAACCCCAAACACGAAUUCCUGUUGGGAGACACUCGAGAUUCAGAAGAGGCAUUAAAAAAGCAACUGCCAGCUCAGGGAGGCAGGUGGUGACAGGUGCUCCUGCUCCUUAAACCCGGGGAAUGGAGCUCCAUUUCCAGCACAGCCCUUUCCAGAGGCUUGGGACACGACCUCUGCUGAGGACAAGCCCCCUCAAAACAAGGACUACGGAGCAAACAACUCCCUAAAACACCUUCCCAUCCUUUUGCUCUCCGUAACAACCACGACCAAACCACACAACUCCACAUCUUCCUUUCCCAAGGGUGGAAAAAAAGGCAAAGCCCAAGCGGUGGGUGAGAGGAAUUAGUCAGGGAUGCAGCGGGAUGUGCUGGGGACGAGCUGCCUCCAGAAAGGCCACAGAAGUGACAAAUCCCGCCCUUAUGUAACGGGUGACAAACGCCUUUUGUUAUGCAAGACAAGUGGGAGAAAAAGAAGCAUCUUUGCCCUUUGUGGGAAGGGAAGAGCAGGCGGCUCCUGCUCGAGCACAAACAACAGGCUGCGGAUCCCGGGGCACCGGCACUGCAGGAACAGAUCCUGGGGAAACGCCUCGUUAUUGGGCUGAGCGAGCACGAAAACACGGGGUCGAUAUUGAAUUGGUCAGUGAUUGAGGAUGUCAGCGCGGUAACGUGGUGAUUUGGUGGGUUUUCUUAAGGAGAGAGGCUACAGGGCAGCCAGCCCUAGCCUUGCUCCCUAGUCAUCUAAAAUUAGGGAUCCCCCUCCCCUUUGCUCCAUACUUGGGCUUUUAGGGUUUUUUAAAAAAUUAAAAAUUUAAAUCAGUAUUCACAUAAUUUAAUUAAUAAAAAUAAUAAUUAAAGAGCUCCACACAUCUGAAUUUAAACAUUGGUCCCAACUCCUUGUUUUCAGACUUGGUGCAAACCCCAGACCCACUUGGGGAUGGAACGCACUUGUCAGCUUGGAGCUGGAACGGGGCAUCCUCUCCCCCUGCAAUCUGCUGGCUCCUGAAGGCUGCAGAAAUCAGAUCCACGACUUGCUCUGGGGAAGAAAUCAGGCUCUGGGCUCUCGGAGACUCUGCAAAGGUUUGUUUAAAAAACAAAACAAAAAAAACACCAAAAAAACCCCAGCCAAACAACUGGCGAAAGGAACGUUAUUUUCCCCUGGGAUUACCCAAGGGCUGCACAGCAAUCCGCUCCCCAUCCAGCUGUGCGGUGCCUCCACCACUCCGCUCCCCAUCCAGCUGUGCGGUGCUCCCACCACUCCGCUCCCCAUCCAGCUGUGCGGUGCUCCCACCACUCCGCUCCCCAUCCAGCUGUGCGGUGCUUCCACCACUCCGCUCCCCAUCCAGCUGUGCGGUGCUCCCACCACUCCCGCGGAGCUCAGGGACCCGCCCCCGCCGUGCUCCCAGUGCCACACGGCGACAGUGACAUCCAGCGGCAGCGACACCCGCCCACAGCAACCCGCGCCCGAGCCUCGGCCACCUCAAAUGCCUGGGAAAUUCCAGCCCCCUCAGGGUGCCGGGAAGGGCUUUGGCUUGAAAACACAGGUUUAGGUGCUGGGUGCCAGCACGGAAGGACAGACACCUCCCAGGGUGAGGAUUUCACCACUCACCUCUCAGCCCUUUGCUGCUUCCUCCCAACAGCCCCACGGUUGAGCAAGAGCUGUUGCCCAGGCAUGAAUCAACCUGGGGUGCUUUGCUCACAGAAAUAUCUCCAAAAGUGGGGGUUUGUUCUUUUGUUCGGUUUUUUUUAAGCCAUUUUGCUGUCCUUCAGCAAAGCCCAGCUCGGUUCCGGGACUCACAGGACAGACACGGCAGCAGCUGUAAAUCAGUUGUUGCCUCCUCAGUGACCUGCAGGGACACAGAGAGAGUCACCUCCACCACCCCUGUGAAGGAGGGACAGGUGAGGGCCUGGCCCAGCCAGUGUCACAUUGUCACCGAGCAGGAGCAGCCUUUCCCUGCUCCCCUGGAGCAGAGGGAUGAGCAGAGGGAUGAGCAGGGAGGACGGGAUCCGUGCUGGGGCUGCAGCAGUCGGGCAGGGAGAAGAGCAGGAGGGAGUGGGGACUGAGACAUCCCAGCCAGUGGUAAUUAGGGUGUCUCCCCAGAGCAGUGUGGAUGUCAAAGCAUAGCUGUGGUUUGCCUUUGGGCCCACCCCAGCCAGGCCACACGUGUGUGUUCCACUGCAAAAAUGCAGCCAGACCUGUCGCAGGGGUGUUUGGCAGCCAGGUCUGGGAACCUCAAAGGGGGAAUGCAGCAGGGAUGGUAACAGCCACUGCUGACAGAUCAGCUCUGCCACAAACAGGUGCCACAGCCUGCCCAGGGAAGGAGGGUUUGUCCCACACGAGCCUCUUUUCAAGCAGCUGAAGUACAAUCACACAUCCUGUGGGAGCUCUCACACACUUGGAGCCAUCUUGAUGUUCAUCCCCUUUUCUCCCCAGUCUCUCUCUCUCUGCCCCUAAAAAAGUCCAGUCUGGGCUGUGACAACUCUGAGGGAGCACUUCAAACCCAAACUGGCAAACUGAGAGUCAAACCCCCAGAGCUGCCAGACAGAGGCUGAGGAGGAGUCCCACAGUGCCCUGCUGGCUGUGGCUCCAGGGAUGAUCCUCCUCUGCUUGGCUGCUUCCCUGGAGGAACAGGGAACCCCCCCCAGCCAAUUCCUGCACCAGGAAAUGCACCCGAGACACAGAGCACGGGAAACACUGGAAACCAGAGCACUUGGAAUGGCAGGAACAUCCCAAGGGCCUGGGGCUGCUCCUGCCUGUGAGCCUGGGUGGGCCACAGAGCAGCUGCUGUCCCCGGGGAUUCCUGAGGACACGGACUUGGGGAUGGAACCAAAUGUGGAACCCACCCAGCCAAGCCCCAGAGCACAGACUGGGCUCACCAGUGUCACUCCUGCCUUCCACCUGGGGGGUUUUUGUUUCUGAGGUUCCCAGACAACAUCAGGAGACCAACAGAAAGACAGAACUUGGUUAAUACAGCAUCACCACCUGCACAAAAAGCAGGGAAUAAAGAUUGUCUCCAUGGUUUCCCAAAACCACAAACCCCUGCAAUACUUGCAGCAUCAUAGCAACAAGCUUGAGCCCAGCAACAUGGAAAUUCUGUUCCUUGAAACCACGUGACCUUAUUUAUUAUUAUCCUGGAGAUUCCCAACAGUUGUGCCCCAGCACUGAGGCUGGAUUGGGGCUGUGGAAGUCCCAGACCUACCUCCAGUGCAUUGUUCCUUCUGUGUAAACCCCAGUGGAGGAGCAGUGUUUGGAGGAAGCAGCAGCUGAUCCUUUCCUUGCUGUGGCAAAAACCCUCUUCAGGGGAUUGGGCAUUGCUGGGUUAGGGUUGGGCUUGAUGAUCCUAAAGGUCUUUUCCAGCCUGAAUGAUUCUGUGAUUCUGAAAGAUCCUGGCUGGGCUUUGGGGUUGGACAGACCUGACUGAUGGUGGAAUCCAGGAUUUAAGGAGACAUCAACAGCUUGGUACAGAAGUCUUUUAGUCUCCUAAAAAAACCCCAAAAGAUCCUUCACUCCCACAUGC